RNAcentral lists this ribosomal RNA (433 nucleotides) under uncultured bacterium. Its description in RNAcentral is "partial 16S ribosomal RNA". It matches the Rfam family "Bacterial small subunit ribosomal RNA", at positions 29 to 507 of the family's 1533-position model. The record is from RNAcentral.
AACGAACGCUGGCGGCAUGCCUAACACAUGCAAGUCGAACGAGACCUUCGGGUCUAGCGGCGCACGGGUGCGUAACGCGUGGGAACCUGCCCUUAGGUUCGGAAUAACUCCCCGAAAGGGGUGCUAAUACCGGAUAAUGUCUUCGGACCAAAGAUUUAUCGCCUUUGGAUGGGCCCGCGUUGGAUUAGCUAGUUGGUAGGGUAAAAGCCUACCAAGGCGACGAUCCAUAGCUGGUCUGAGAGGAUGAUUAGCCACACUGGGACUGAGACACGGCCCAGACUCCUACGGGAGGCAGCAGUGGGGAAUAUUGGACAAUGGGCGAAAGCCUGAUCCAGCAAUGCCGCGUGAGUGAUGAAGGCCUUAGGGUUGUAAAGCUCUUUUACCCGGGAUGAUAAUGACAGUACCGGGAGAAUAAGCUCCGGCUAACUCCGUG